GUAUAACUCGUUCUGCCGAUUUGUGCUACAAUGUAAUUACAGGACCCACCAUUGUGACAUGCUAAAAGAACUAAACUGGCUGUCGCUGGAAUCCAGACGCACCCUUCAUCUUUCCAGCCUUGUGUUUAAGAGCUUUUCUGGGAAACUCCCACCCUACCUGAACAAAAUGCUUUCCCCAGCUGUUCCCACUUCCUAUAAGCUCCGAUCCAGUACCAACACUUUACUUAGUCUACCUCAAUACAAAAAGAAAACGGCCCGAUCCUCCUUCUCCUACAGAGCACCACAAUUGUGGAACGACCUCCCGCACAAUUU
This is a non-coding RNA of Pelobates cultripes (western spadefoot toad), 312 nucleotides long. Lineage: Eukaryota; Metazoa; Chordata; Amphibia; Anura; Pelobatidae. The record is from the annotation of a GenBank genome assembly.